GUCAUUAGAAAGCACCUUCUCAGGUGACCCAGAUGUUCCCUUAAAAACAACCUGCCACCGGGCACAGCUAAUCUGCGAGCUUCUGCUCCGGGCAGUGUGCCAGAGGCACGCGCGUCGUCCUCACAGCACUCCGGCCAAUGGCUGGUCUUACUGAUUUCGUUUUAUAGAUGAGGAGAGGGGGGACAGACAAGGAAAGGAACUUCCGCAAGAUCCUACGGCUUGUGGGAGGUGAGGCGGAGUGUAAACUCACGGCCCCUCACAGCCCUGCCCGGGAUAAGUAGCGUGGAGGCUUGGAUGGCUGUUAAUGAGCCUCUGUGCCUCGGCCUCGUGUGCGGAAACAUUAGCGGGGUGCCUGCUGGACAGCUUGGGGUCGUCUGAGUUUCAGCAGCACCUUGUAAGGGGCUCUUCCUGAGGUCGGGGAGGGGAAGCCGAGGCUGGUGGGUGGGCUCAUCUGCCUGAAGGCAGAGCCUUAGUGAGUGUGUGGAGGUCCUCUGCUGGCUCUCUCACCCCCACUGCCUUCUGCAGCCCGGCCUGACACUUCACCCUUCCUCUCCUGCACAGACGCCCUCCUGGGGCGCCCACGGAGGGAGGCAGGCACAGCAGGUGAACAAAGCCGAGCAGCCUGUGGUAGGACAGCUAGGGAGCCAUGUGCCUGUCCCCCCUGGAAGAUGCGGAUGAAGGGCUUAGGUGCUCGGAGGAGUUCAGCAGCCAAAGAAAUACGUUUACCUUCAUUAGCCUCGUCUUGCCCAAACUUUUGUGACUACCAAACAUUGCUUCCCCCCCGAGCCAUCUUCUAGCUCAGUGGGACAGACUUGGGGAGUGUGGAGAGAGGGAAGAGACGCAGGGGUGAGGCAAGACUUCGCUUGCAGGGUCCUGGAAGGAGGGCAGAAUUUAGCUGGUUAGAAGGGAUAUUCUACAAGGAGACGAACGGACAAGCCAUGUUUGGGGAGCAUUUUGGAAAGUGACUGACAUAGCACCUUGGACUCAGUAUUUUUAUUGAAAAAAUGACAAGUCUGUAAGUGGAGGCUGGUGUUGGCAGUGAGGGGUAAAGGGGCUCGUGGGAACUCUUGAUGGGCAUGAUGUAAACUCGGUGGUGGAUGAGGAACUUCCACUGAGCCAAGGAGUAGUCGAUGGAGGUGGAAUCGGAAGCAGGAAAGCCGUGGCUGUUGCGGCGCCUCUAAAGUGAUGCAGGCUUGCACAUGCGCAGGGGUAGGGUGGAGUCGGCAGACGCGACAGGCCAGCGUGCUUGGCGAGAGCUGUGGGGGUGCUGAGUGCUCAGAGGCCAGGCACACAGGCCUGCUCCUGGGUGUGCAGGGAGGCCAGUGCGGACGGGAGCCGUCUGACAUGCUUGCUUCUCUACGGCAGUGGGUCCUUAUUAUUUAUUUACAUCCCUUUUGGUGGGAACCACAGAGAGUUUCUAGUCCCAUUCCCUCCUCCCUCUCAAUACUUCUCCCAUUAUUAUUGUUGGCAUGCUUACAUUCUAAAGUGUAUAGUGCUUUAUGUAAUGAGAUAUCCAUUCUAACAUUGCCCUAUAGGAAAAUACGUAAGAAGAUAUGUAGCAUGUAGCAUGUGUCUAGAAUGUUUUUAUAAGCAUGUCCCAGAGCCACAGCCUCCCAGCACCGUCUGUUACUGCCGUGUAGACACCAAACACUGCUCCUUCCAGUGUCUCACAGCGAGUCCUCGCUCAGGCUGGUGGAGACGGGAGCAGGAGAGAGCAUUUCAGAGGAGUGUACUGUGUGAGGGUCUGGGGUAGAGAUCUGACUCAGCAUUAAUCCACGCAUGUAAUGAGCCAUGUAAUAAUGGGGCUCUGCUGCAAAUUGUGGUGAAGAUUCUCAGUGAAAUUGAAUUUUCUGAGUACCAUACCCAUAAAAAAAUCUUCACUCAGACUUUAUAAAACAGUCCCAAAUAUAUUGCAAAUGUUGUGGGUAUUUGCACAAUAUUGACAGAAAAUAGGGAAAAAAAUCAUCAAUAUAUUUCUGGGAAACGUAAGAUCAGAUUAUAACAUAAGUAUAUACCAGUAUGAGUAAUGUCUGUGUUGAAGUUAUUAGAGUUUGUUAAAGGUUAGAUAAACUUAAUAGAUUCCUUAAACUUAAGUGAUAAUAGAUUCUUUUUUAACAAAGAAAAUAAAACUAAAUAAAGGACUUUUUUAACCGUCCUGCAGAGUGGAGUGAGGAAGCUUUAAAGCAGACAAGUCUUUAUGUCACAGUUGGGUGGUGAACAAGAACCGUGGUCACCAUUGGGCCUGCGUAUAUGCUACGGUUUAUAUUCAGUGGGUGAGCGUGAUUGCUUCUCUGCAUUCGUUUUAGCCUUUAAACCUGAGCAGAGCCUGCGGAUUGCUGCUCUGCGGAAAGCCCUCAUUGUCGCUCAUUUCUGUUAGAUUUUGAGUUGCUGACAGCAGAGAGAACAUUUUUGUAUCUGUACAGUAUAUUGUGGAGGCUAAGAUUAAAGUUUUCACUUUUAUUUUGAGUUACCUGUUCCUUCAGAGAUUUUGCUUCCACCCGGGAUGGAGGGGGAGGGAGGAAGCUGAGACCUUCUCUAGGGUGGUGGCCAACCAUAAUUCCCAAGAGGCAGCCUCCCUGUGGGGGUUCCCGUCAGGUGUGAGGAGAGGGGUGUGGGUGAUGGUCUUAAUGUCCUCAGGGGGCACCUGGCACUGUCUUCUGGGGGUGCCCAUAGGAAUGGGCAGUUCCCUUUCCCUGAAGCCCCUGGGUAAGUGCCACCAACCAAACUGUGAAGAAAUAAUGUGACGUUUCUUAGGGACAUUUGAAUCUUAGGUGUGAUAAAAUUGUACAAAAUAACGCCUGGUUGCCUUUCACAGAUCUGGUGACUGUCUUCAGGUACGACCACUGCGGUCAUUCUGGCCAACCCAGAAUGUCCACUUAGCAAGUGUUAAACUUACUGCGCUAGUCUCCUCGAGGGAGGACUCUGUGGAAAUCAGAUCAGAUUUUAAAAGGGUAUUGUCAGCAUUCUUUUUCUUGAAAUCAAUUUAUGUGCACUCAUAAUUUAAGUACUCCUUUAGCAAAAUUAUUAAAUGUGAUUAAUUUACUACACUGCCGAUUUAAUACCCUUCAAUGGCAGAAUUUUGAUUACAUAAAUCCUGCAGCCUACAAAAAUGGCUAUUUCUUAUUAAUUUGUGAUUUCCCAACUAAGUCUGAAAUUAGUGGACAUCAAUUUCAGACUUCAGGAUUGCUCAAAAGUUUUCAAGCCUUUUAUUUGCAUGUCCCAUAACCUUCCCUUCCCCUUUUUAAAAUUUGCUCUUUUCACCUUUUCAGGGGUUUCUUUUCUCAUUUGUUUUGGGAGGUUUUUUGUUUGUUUGUUUGCAUUUUCUUUCCUGAAACUUUGAACUCCAUAGAUGGGCGUUAAGGCCUGGUUUGAGACGAUCUGGUCUGCUUUCUUUCAUUCCCAUGUAUUGUGUUCUAGAGCCUGUUUGCUCUGAAGGUACAGAUUCACAGCUGGAGAAAGGGUUCUGAACUUCAUCAUAGCUGUCGCCUUCGUUCUUACCGUGUGCCAAGUACGGACUUCACGUGUUACCUCACUUACUCUCAUCGGUCGGUGAGGAAGCCGAUGCACCUGAGCUCUGUCAUCAGCUCAUUCAGACAGAGGAGCCGUCCCACUCUGAGAUCUAAGAGCUCUCUGGGGCCCAGACCUGAUCUGCUUUAAUUAAAAAGUUAUCAAAUGUUACAUAAAUCUCCUGCGUCUAAUGGGUUCACAGCCCCAAAUAGAGUAAUUUUGGGCUUUAAAACUCUAAAGGCAACACUGACUUUGAUGUGUUUAUAAGAAGCAUUAUUUAAAUGUGAAAUUCCCUCUUCUCCCUAACUGUCGCUCUGCGUCUAAACAGCCUGGGCAGGCGCGGGUCAGACGCAUGGAGCGCUCACAGGUUUUUCCCCAGCAGCCGGGUCUUCUUGAAGCAUCAUCUGACAAUUAAUGUUACUGAGACAAAUAAAGCUACUUAAAGGGGCUCUAGUUCUGAGCCACAUGAUAUCAAGUGGGAAGACAUGUCUGGAAAUCUGUGUCACCUUUUAGCUCCUGGGGAAGGCUAGAAGCGCGCUGCCUUUGAUAAAGAAGAGCAGCAUAUGAAUGGGUGAUGGCUGCCUUUCUUCCGUCUAAUUCAGCUGCUUCCUAUUCCAUCGAAAACCUCUGUUGGAAAGCAAUUUCCCUCACUUGACCCAUUUUCCUUCUGCAUUAUGUCUUCUUCUGGUUCCUCAACACAGAAUGGGAAAGAGUGCAGCUGCAAACCUGCAGGCUCAGGAGGCGGGGCUCGGGCUCCGCCUUUGGAGGGAGCGCGCUCUUCCUUUCAUUCUCUGACUCCUCACUUAGAUUUCACAGCUUCCAGGAGAGAGAUGUUAAGUGCACGAUUGGUAGAGAGACUUGUGGGUACAGAAAAAAAUAGGUGUGGGGGUACGGAUCUUGUUUAGGGGUUUGGGCAGUGUAAGGAUGUUAGCAUUUUAGUAAACAUAUGUGCAGUAAGCCUAAUAUUAAUAUAUUCGUAUUUUUAAAUGUCUCUGGACACCUAGGUCUCUUGAUAUCAUUAUCUGGUAAUUUUUAACACCUCCAUUAGUCACAGGUAUGACAUGCUAUCCUGUGAUAACAUUUACUUCACAUCCAUGGUUAAGGGGCUUACAUUGGCUUCUGUCCUUGCCAGGUCAAAUUCUAAAUGUCCCAGCAUUCCUAGGAUAGCACCAGACUCCUUCAUGGAACCUUCUCCACCUUUACUCAUGUGAACUUUCUCUUCGCCAUUGACACUCACGCCUUUGGUGACCUCAUUCAGUCCCGUGACUUUAAAUGCCACACAUACCUGAAGACUCCUAAGUUCUAUGUCACCAGCCUAGACUGCUCCCAGAUGGAGCAUUUGCAUCUCCGCUUGCCGCCUCUACAUGCCGCUUAAAGAGCAUGUCCCCCUCACAGGCCCAGGACGCCAGGCCUGCUCUGGCCCCACGUCUUUCUGGCGCACAACCCCCCCAUUCACCUGAGAGCACCACAUCCUUCUAGGCCAGCCGUGGGCAAACUAUGGCCCGCGGGCCAGAUCCAGCCCGUUUGAAAUGAAUAAAACUAAAAAAAAAAAAAAAAAGACCGUACCCUUUUAUGUAAUGAUGUUUACUUUGAAUUUAUAUUAGUUCACACAAACACUCCAUCCAUGCUUUUGUUCCGGCCCUCCGGUCCAGUUUAAGAACCCAUUGUGGCCCUUGAGUCAAAAAGUUUGCCAACCCCUGUUCUAGGCACUCCAAUCAAACCUUGGGAGUCCUCUUCCUCCUCCUUUCUCUCCAUGCAUAAGCCAUAGGAACUUAGACAGGAGGCUUUUAAAUAACCCAAAAAAAAAAGAGGAGAGAUCACAAGGAAAGUUAGAAAUAUUUUCAACUGAAUUAAAAAAGGAAACACAACGUAUCAGAAUUUAUGUGAUACAGCUAAACUGUACUCAGAGGGAAAUUCAUAGCUGUAAAUGUCUGUGGCAGGAUUCUCUGAAGUGCAUCUUAGGAAGGACUGCUACGCUCAACAUUAAAGAAUAAUGACAAUCUGUAAGACCCUCUCCCCCCAGCCCCACAAGGCAGAGCUGCUGAGUCCGAUUCUUCAGGAUUGAAGGUUUAGGUGGUCCUGUCAUGCUGAGAACCCUGCCUGCCUGAGGUUCUGAUUGAGGAAAAAAAAAAUCUGGGAUGGACAGUGGAAAAGAAAGUCAUGGACACCAUCAUGGCCUCAGGACCAGGCUGCUGUGCUGCUGGAAAUUGCUCAUGACAAUAGUCGCAAGUACAGAACAAACUACACGAAAGGGGAUUUGUGACGGAAAUAGUGUAAAAUGGGAAUCCCCAAAGAAACAACAUGGGAAUUAUUAAGAAAAUUAUUAUCUAUCCACACAAUGACAGUAUUGUGUUGUCAUUAAAAGUUACAUUGAUGAAAAUA
Molecule: long non-coding RNA, 5889 nt
Organism: Myotis myotis
Lineage: Eukaryota; Metazoa; Chordata; Mammalia; Chiroptera; Vespertilionidae
Exons: 2
Source: RefSeq, a predicted model, not a curated record